This 440-nucleotide ribosomal RNA is filed under the name uncultured bacterium. RNAcentral's name for it is "partial 16S ribosomal RNA". It matches the Rfam family "Bacterial small subunit ribosomal RNA", at positions 338 to 795 of the family's 1533-position model. The record is from RNAcentral.
CCUACGGGUGGCAGCAGUAGGGAAUAUUGCUCAAUGGGGGAAACCCUGAAGCAGCAACGCCGCGUGGAGGAUGAAGGUUUUCGGAUUGUAAACUCCUUUUGUUAGAGAAGAUAAUGACGGUAUCUAACGAAUAAGCACCGGCUAACUCCGUGCCAGCAGCCGCGGUCAUACGGAGGGUGCAAGCGUUACUCGGAAUCACUGGGCGUAAAGAGCGCGUAGGCGGGAUAGCAAGUCGGGUGUGAAAUCCUAUGGCUUAACCAUAGAACUGCAUUUGAAACUGUUAGUCUAGAGUAUGGGAGAGGGAGGUGGAAUUCUUGGUGUAGGAGUAAAAUGCGUAGAGAUCGAGAGGAAUACUCAUUGCGAAGGCGACCUGCUAGAACAUAACUGACGCUGAGGCGCGAAGGCGUGGGGAGCGAACAGGAUUAGAUACCCUGGUAGUC